AUUUCUCUGAGAUGUUUGCAAGCGGGCCAGUCCCCUGAGCCGAUAUUUCAUACCACAAGAAUGUGGCGCUCCGCGGUUGGCGAGCAUGCUCGGUUCGUCCGAGAAGCCUUAAAACUGUGACGACACAUUCACCUUGAACCAAGGGUUCAAGGGUUACAGCCUGCGGCGGCAUCUCGGAGAUUCC
RNAcentral lists this non-coding RNA (184 nucleotides) under Salmonella enterica subsp. enterica serovar Kentucky. Its description in RNAcentral is "6S RNA". It matches the Rfam family "6S / SsrS RNA". Rfam says of the family: E. coli 6S RNA was the first non coding RNA to be sequenced, but its function was unknown until recently. It consists of 184 nucleotides that fold into an extended hairpin structure with a large single-stranded internal bulge. The 6S RNA specifically associates with RNA polymerase holoenzyme containing the sigma70 specificity factor. RNAcentral also lists the same sequence under 1 other name. Lineage: Bacteria; Pseudomonadati; Pseudomonadota; Gammaproteobacteria; Enterobacterales; Enterobacteriaceae. The record is from RNAcentral.